Molecule: transfer RNA, 52 nt
Filed under: Turnera luetzelburgii var. dubia
Lineage: Eukaryota; Viridiplantae; Streptophyta; Magnoliopsida; Malpighiales; Passifloraceae
Description: partial tRNA-Leu
Source: RNAcentral
CGAAAUCGGUAGACGCUACGGACUUAAAAUCCGUCGAUUUUCGAAAUCGGGG